UGUUGAGAGGACUGUCUGGGUUAGGUUCUGGAGUAUGUCUAGGCAUAUAUUGCCAUACUGAUCGACGUUUGGGUGAAAGCAAUUUGUCUCAAAUUUGACUUGCGGUGGUUUAAAGGGGUAGUCCAGAGGAAAAUGCAAAGAAAGUUUAUAUGACAAACCCUCAUACACGGUUCCCUUUCCACCCUCAAUUGUGCCAAUCCAUGUGAAAAUGCACUCGCCUUCAGGAAAUGCUGAUACACCAAGAUCUCCUCCACUCAUCAUGAGAGACAUCAAUUCCUUCUGUAACCUUUGACAAACGGAGGAAGUAUCAACCGGGUUAGGAGGAGCAGCGGGCUGCUUCGAUGGAGUAGCAGGCGCAUAGCGGUGAUAUUGAUGCUGAUGCUGAGACGAGUUAUCGACCGUAGGAUUUGGCCUCAUCUCCAUGAUUACAAAAUAAGAACUAAUCUACCCUACUGAUCCAAAUCAACGACCAAUACGCGAGCGAUCAAUCAAUCAAUGAAUUUUUUUUGUUGUUGUUGAAUGAUUCACUGCACGGGUAUAGAAUCAGGAAUAGACGAAUUAUGGGGAGAUAAUUUUUCGUUUCUGUUUCAGGUGGUGGCGAUUCUGGUGGCUGUGGUAGU
This 620-nucleotide unclassified non-coding RNA is filed under the name Hevea brasiliensis (rubber tree). Lineage: Eukaryota; Viridiplantae; Streptophyta; Magnoliopsida; Malpighiales; Euphorbiaceae. The record is from RNAcentral.